GAUGAACGCUGGCGGCGUGCCUAAUACAUGCAAGUCGAGCGAACAGACGAGGAGCUUGCUCCUCUGACGUUAGCGGCGGACGGGUGAGUAACACGUGGAUAACCUACCUAUAAGACUGGGAUAACUUCGGGAAACCGGAGCUAAUACCGGAUAAUAUAUUGAACCGCAUGGUUCAAUAGUGAAAGACGGUUUUGCUGUCACUUAUAGAUGGAUCCGCGCCGCAUUAGCUAGUUGGUAAGGUAACGGCUUACCAAGGCGACGAUGCGUAGCCGACCUGAGAGGGUGAUCGGCCACACUGGAACUGAGACACGGGCCAGACUCCGACGGGAGGCAGCAGUAGGGAAUCUUCCGCAAUGGGCGAAAGCCUGACGGAGCAACGCCGCGUGAGUGAUGAAGGUCUUCGGAUCGUAAAACUCUGUUAUUAGGGAAGAACAAAUGUGUAAGUAACUAUGCACGUCUUGACGGUACCUAAUCAGAAAGCCACGGCUAACUACGU
This 496-nucleotide ribosomal RNA is filed under the name uncultured bacterium. RNAcentral describes it as "partial 16S ribosomal RNA". It matches the Rfam family "Bacterial small subunit ribosomal RNA", at positions 28 to 506 of the family's 1533-position model. The record is from RNAcentral.